AACGAACGCUUGCGGCGCGCCUAAUACAUGCAAGUCGAACGAGGUAGCAAUACCUAGUGGCGCACGGGUGAGUAACGCGUGGAUAAUCUGCCCUUCAGUGGGAAAUAACUAGCCGAAAGGUUAGCUAAUACCGCAUGAGACCACGAUCCCUGCGGGGAUUGAGGCUAAAGAUUUAUUGCUGAAGGAUGAGUCUGCGUGGGAUUAGCUAGUUGGUGGGGUAAUGGCCUACCAAGGCGACGAUCUCUAACUGGUCUGAGAGGAUGACCAGUCACACUGGAACUGAGACACGGGCCAGACUCCUACGGGAGGCAGCAGUAGGGAAUAUUGCGCAAUGGGGGAAACCCUGACGCAGCGACGCCGCGUGAGUGAUGAAGGCCUUAGGGUCGUAAAGCUCUGUUGUACGGGAAGAAACAAAUGACGGUACCGUAUAAGAAAGGACCGGCUAACUUCGUGCCAGCCGCCGCAGUAA
Molecule: ribosomal RNA, 469 nt
Filed under: uncultured bacterium
Lineage: Bacteria
Description: partial 16S ribosomal RNA
Rfam family: Bacterial small subunit ribosomal RNA
Source: RNAcentral